Molecule: long non-coding RNA, 5241 nt
Filed under: Anas zonorhyncha (Eastern spot-billed duck)
Lineage: Eukaryota; Metazoa; Chordata; Aves; Anseriformes; Anatidae
Description: lncRNA (ENSAZOG00000014145.1)
Source: RNAcentral
AUGAUUUUACCCACUCCUCUCCUGAAAUCGAUUGUACAGCCAGAUCCCUUCAGCCAAGAAUGCGGACCUGUCAAAUCUCAGGCACCGAGCAGGAGACACGCAAUCUGCUCUGACCCUCUGCUCCCUUCCAGCACGGCCCCUGUCUCUCGCCUUCACCCCUGCUCCAUGACCCCGGGUGCCAGACACGGCCCCAUUUCUCUUUGGCCAAGCACCCAUGCCUGGUGCUGGGGGUGGGGGUGGCUGGAGAGCUGCUGGGGGCCCGCUCCCUGCUGCCAGAGGAUGCUCAGUGCUCAGAUCCUUUAUGGCCAUAGCUCUCUCUGGUAUCCUUUCCCUCCUGGCAUGUCCCGCAAGAAUCUCUCCUUGCUGUAUAACUGAAUGCAAUGUGGCCCCAGUGCUGGAGAAACCUGAGAUUGCUCCUCCACUUCAUGGGCACUUGCAUCCUGGCUUGCACAGGGUAUCCCAGAAGAAUGCAGCUGUCUCAGCCCAGGAUCAUUUUUGUAAAACAGGAGAGAAGAUAGACUUCCCCUUGCUUUUCCUGAUUUAUUUAUUCGUUGCAUAAUGGCUUGUCCACAAACAUCCCAGCUUGGUUAAAUCUUUGACAUGUAAAACAUUUCCAGAAAUUCUUGCUGCCAUCCAGCAAGAAAAAUGGGUAGGACUUGGCUUUUUUCUCCCUUCUCUCUCCCUCUUGAAAGAAAAAAAAGAAAAAGGAAAGAAAAGAAAAGAAAAAAAAAAAAAACAACUCCUCACUUUUCUUCAGUUUUCUUCUUUCCAGUGCGACUUUGUCUCUGGUUUUCCCGAAGCAAGGCACUCAUUUAUCAGGCUUGCGAGUUCUUACGCAUUGGCAGACUCCGCGGCUUUCCGCUUGGCUCAGGGCUCCCAGCCACCAUAUGGAACGAGUUGCACGUUUUCACUCCUUAUCGCAGUUUAAGAUGGAAAUAUUUCCUUGAUUCUUCUCGGGGUAUUUCUGCAAUUGCACACAUGCUGGGAGCAUUUAACCCUGACAUUGCUGAUGAGUAGCUGUUCCUAUUAAAAUGCCAUCAGAGAUUGAACUGAAAAUCUUUUACAGUGAACUACGCCAGCAGUUUGAUUCUGUUCCUGGUUACAAAUAGUUCCUUUAAUAGUUUUGGAGUUACAUGCAUAUAACAGAGAAGAAUCUGGCUAGCUGUCUAUUUGUCUGUCUGCUUGUCUCUCUAAAGAGACAACUUUGUCUCCGUCUCUGCAUACUGAUCCAGUUUUGCUGUAGGGCUGCUGUAGCUGCGAUAGUCUAAGGAGGUAAGAAAAGUCAUUCCCUCUCCAUCCUGCCUUUAUUAAGCUAGAUGACAGCUGAAGACAGACAAUUUUUCAAUCACAGAUCUUCCAUGCACGAAUCUUCCACUGCUAUGCAUCUAGCUGAGGGAUUUUUUUUUCCUCUCCCAUGCAAUACCAUGCCUCAUACUCAGGGUUUCUUCCAGCACGGGCUACCAGUUGGCACAGUAAGUGGAGUGUGAGCCUAUCAAAGUCAGGAUCAAGGCUCAGAAGGUGUAAAUAUGUGGCUGGCCCAGCACAGGUGAGAGGAAACAAGGUGGGUAAGAUCUCUCCUUGUGCUCUCUCAGCAGGCGCAGCCCCAUUUUCUGUUUUAACAUCACUUCCAAAGUCUUUCCUCAUUAGAUAUUCAAGCCUAGAAGCUCUUGGCAUGUGCUGAGUUACACAUCUUGGGUAGGCUGAGAAGGAAGGAUGAAGUCAUAAAUCCACUUUCAGAGAAGAGCUGCAGCAAAAUUUAGAGCCUAAAUAUGCCGCAAGGUCUAUUUUUUGCAGGGUGCAAACUCCAGUGCCUCUUUUUCAGCAUCUCUGUCAAGGAGGUAAAGAACUUCCACAAUUUCCCACAACAAAGGCUGGAGUCUGGAUCCAUUCAGCCUGCAUUGCGUUUGACAGCUUGCUGCAGCUCAAAUACAGCACUGGGUUCUGCAAGAACGGACUUUUCACACUUGUCAAUUCUGCUUUUCUCAUUGCGAUUUCUGGACGUGUAAAGACUAGCUCAUUAUUAUCCCAAAACUCAGUCCACAGUGGUGGAAUACAUAGGCCUUCAGUGGGAAGGGAAUUGAAUAUGACUUUAAGGUUAAGGAAGGCUGCCAGAAGGUUGUAAAGCAAUAUUAUAAAUGGAAAGCAGGAUCCAUACAUCUGAGAUUGGAUAUUAGCCCUCCAUUUGGUUAUUCUUGGUCAAGUUCAAUAUUUUCUUCCAUCCUGGCUUUACCUGCUCGUAUGGAUGGCCUUAGAGCAUUUCAAUACGAGCACCGUGUUUUUCCAUCAAGUUCGACAUUGGCUCCAUGCUGAUUUCCAUGUUAGAUCCUCUGGUUCCAGCUUUAGCACCACAAAUUCCAACAUGAGCUUCAACUGCCAGAGCUUCACCUUUACUGAAUGUACAUCACCACCAGUCCCCAAAGUUGCUUAAAAUAAAGGUUUCCAUGGAAAUAAUUGCUGAUACUAGUCUAGGUGUCUUUUUCUUUUCUGUGCCACAUAGCAGGAAAAGAAUCAAUCCUUGUUUUUCAAAAUCCUACUGUAGUUGAAAAACAAAAUGCCUAAAAGAUUGAGAAGGGGGAGGGAGUCUGAUACCCACAUCCAGGAUCCAAAGUUGCCAGUAUAUGAAGCCCCAAUAAGGCUGCAACAGGGGCAGGAAGGUUUUGGCUUCCCUACGCAUCCUGCUGCCUCAUGCUAGAUGGGACAGAUGCACACCAUCCAUUUGUCCACCCACAUUUGCUUGGAUCCAGAGACCGGGGAGGUGGCCAAUACCACGACCUCCAUAGGAUGUGGAAGAUCUGCUCAUGUCCAGAGAGAGUCACUGAGGUUGCUGGCAGAAGACAGGUUGGGUAGAGUUGGUCAAACUCAUUGAAGGACUAGAAAGCAGGAGCCCACUUGUGCCAGCCUUUGAAGCACAUGCACAACCUGUGGCAGAUGCAACUGCACAGCUUCCCCCUUUGGAUCAGAGCUGCAGGAAAGACUGCCUAUAAAUAGCCAAAUCUGCGCUAGCCAAAAGGAUCUUUCCUUCUUUUUGCUUAUAACUAAGGAAUCCGUGAGAGCACUGCAAUCAUGGACCAUGUUGGACACUCAGGCAAAGUCAUAGGAAACAAAAUACAAAACCAUUUGCCAACUCAGCCUCCAUUAUGGGAAGGCCAAGUGUUUUAAAAGUCUCAUUCAGCUUCCCAUGCGCUUGUCUCCUCCCACACCAGCCUGCCCAAUGCAGAGAGGCAGUUGACCAAAGGGAGAUUUUAGGUCGAGUCCCCAGAAAGCAAAUGACAUUUCCCCAUCGUGGUAAGCCUGGAAAGGCACUACGUUAGCAGCAUCCAAGUCAAUUUUUUCCUUAUGUUCAAAGGAAACCCUAGAUAUGUUUUCUAAUUUGCUUUCCAGCCCUUUCAACGAACAGGAGGCUUUGAAAACAUGCUCUGAAAUCUUUCUCUUCAUCUCAAUGCAUCUGUUCUUUUUCUCCUCCAUCUGGACAGCAGCACAGGUACACAGACUAGACCCUGGCCUUUGGCCGACAUGAUCUUUCCAAGUAAUUUUUGGACAUGGAAUGAAAAAUCAGUCCAAAGCUCACUCUGUAAAGGAGUUUUAUUUCCAUUUGAGUCCACUUCAAGGGGCUGCAGUGGGCUUAGUUUUGUUAUUUUUGCUCCCCCUUCCAAAAUAAUAAUGCAGCGAUCCAAAGUUUGGAUUUAGAGGAUAAUCAGACUGUUGCUGAAAAAAAAAAGGGAAUAGCAGAAGCCUCUUCACUUGCAUCUCUAGAGCUGAGUCUUGACCACUAAUUGAACAUGAGAUUAAGUCCUCACUGUCAUUCUCUAAUUCAGAAUCAGACUCCUGGACUGACUUCAGACGACUGCAUUAGGCAGAAAUAAGAGCUGGCAUGGCCAAGUGAUGCUGUUAUCCAUCCAGCAGGAAUAGCAGGGCUCUGGAAGUGACACUGGCUGGUGCAGAGCAAACACCUCUGGCAGGCAAGAUGUGACUGCUGACUGGGAGAAGGUUCAUGGAGUGAGGACAGAGGGCUGAAGUUGACUCAUCCAACACAAGUAAACUUCAGCAAUUAAAAGAUGGUAAGGGGAGAGAUGCUGUUGGCAAGAGGGGAUGAAGAGAUAACCAAUAAGGCAUCACACCAGGUGCUUCAGGAGGGAAAGUAUCAUAUUUACCUGCAAUUAAAAAAAAUAAAACAAAGACACCGGUCCAGGAAGAACAUUUCUGCCAGCUUCCUGAAUGAUCUGAGUUCACUGAGCAGGUGCUUUGGCUUCUUGCAAAGCUCUUUGGAAACUCAUGGAAGGACCAAGCGACCCAAAGUGUGGGAAACAGAAGGAGCCAAGGCAUCCCAGCAGGGCAGCACCGCAAGGAGGUUGGAAAGAAGAGUCCUGAGAUUAGUUUCACCAUCCUCUGCCAGGCACCUUCUUGCCAGUCAGUGGCAGUGACAGCAUUGCCCAGGGGUAGAGGGGCAGGACUGCUGGGUGCACAGCUCCAUUUCCUCCAGGAAUGCUGCCUGGAAAGGCAUGAAAGAAGAGGGACUGGGGAAGGCAAGGGAAGUGAAGCGCAUCCAUGCGUGGAUGAGAAAGUUGGAGCUUGCUUUUCCAAAAUAAAUGCUUGGUCUUCCAAGCCUGACAUCCUGCCUCCCCAGGCAGCCAGGACGUGAUUCCUCCUGUGUAACGAGCCACCCUUUCCACACACAAAAACACUGCUCGGUUCUCCCUUUUCAGGGCCGGAUGGGAGGAAGUCUUUACUGAUGGAUUUGAAGUGGCCGAUGUCUUUUCCAGUCAUGGUAUCAUCCCCCUGUGCAGAAUGCAUAGCCCCUGCCAUGACCUAGAAUUAGAAAAUUUCCUCUUUAAAGGCAGUUUAUUUUUUAUUAUUUUAUAUUUUAUUUCCCCCUCUGAGUUAGGGAGGGGCAUAAGAGGAAGAACAACGUUGGGAUUUUAGCACAGAUUAACAAUUUCAGAUCUGGAUGGAGCUAGUUCUGCUCAAACAUCAGUUGCCUACUCAUUGACCUAUGCAGCAGCAAAUUUUUGCUGCUAGCUCCCCUUUCCCACAGUGUAGUGCCUGCUUUGCAGAGAAGCUGUUCAUGCAUCACUCUUGUUGAUGUCCAGGCUGAAAACUAAUGGUUAAUCCUAGUGCAGCAAGAUUGGGAGCCAGGUCCUAGAAAGAUUUUUGUGGUUUCUACACACAGCCACCCCUUUUUUUUUUUUCUCAUGAAUUGCCUUUCAAGUUCAUCUCUGAUGGCAAGCAAAACCAAAAAUAUUU